GUAUGUAUGGGAGAUGCAUCUUCAUUGUUUACGUUGUAUGUAUAAAGUAUAUACAGAUAUACAGUAGGACAACUGAAUGUGCCUUUUUGGCCGAAAUGUGAUUCUGCGGAUGUCAGUGGUCCUACGCCGAAAAUUGGACUAUUUUGCUUCGGCCGACAUCAACUGGAAAAUGGCGCGCUUUUGUAUUUGUUUUCAUACGUUGACGGCAAAGUGCCGAUGGUAAAUACUGUAGAUUGUAAGCAAAUUUAUAGAGAAACAUAUAGGAGUUGACAUCUUUUUUUUUCAUUUUUCGAACAUUAACACCUUAUUUUUUAUAUAUCUGAAAAUAGAAUUUCGAAUUUUGAUAUUCCAAAUUGUAGAACUGAAAAGCGA
This 372-nucleotide long non-coding RNA is filed under the name Mytilus galloprovincialis (Mediterranean mussel). The record is from RNAcentral. Lineage: Eukaryota; Metazoa; Mollusca; Bivalvia; Mytilida; Mytilidae.